This 253-nucleotide ribosomal RNA is filed under the name uncultured bacterium. RNAcentral's name for it is "partial 16S ribosomal RNA". It matches the Rfam family "Bacterial small subunit ribosomal RNA", at positions 524 to 776 of the family's 1533-position model. The record is from RNAcentral.
UACAGAAGGUGCGAGCGUUAAUCGGAAUUACUGGGCGUAAAGCGUGCGCAGGCGGUGAUGUAAGACCGAUGUGAAAUCCCCGGGCUUAACCUGGGAACUGCAUUGGUGACUGCAUCGCUCGAGUAUGGCAGAGGGGGGUAGAAUUCCACGUGUAGCAGUGAAAUGCGUAGAGAUGUGGAGGAAUACCGAUGGCGAAGGCAGCCCCCUGGGUCAAUACUGACGCUCAUGCACGAAAGCGUGGGGAGCAAACAGG